This 450-nucleotide ribosomal RNA is filed under the name uncultured bacterium. RNAcentral's name for it is "partial 16S ribosomal RNA". It matches the Rfam family "Bacterial small subunit ribosomal RNA", at positions 354 to 796 of the family's 1533-position model. The record is from RNAcentral.
GUAGGGAAUCUUCCGCAAUGGACGAAAGUCUGACGGAGCAACGCCGCGUGAGUGAUGAAGGUCUUCGGAUUGUAAAGCUCUGUUAAUCGGGACGAAAGAGCCUAGUGUGAAUAAUGCUAGGAAGUGACGGUACCGGAAUAGAAAGCCACGGCUAACUACGUGCCAGCAGCCGCGGUAAUACGUAGGUGGCAAGCGUUGUCCGGAAUUAUUGGGCGUAAAGCGCGCGCAGGCGGAUCUGCCAGUCUGUCUUAAAAGUUCGGGGCUUAACCCCGUGAUGGGAUGGAAACUACAGAUCUAGAGUAUCGGAGAGGAAAGUGGAAUUCCUAGUGUAGCGGUGAAAUGCGUAGAUAUUAGGAAGAACACCAGUGGCGAAGGCGACUUUCUGGACGAAAACUGACGCUGAGGCGCGAAAGCCAGGGGAGCGAACGGGAUUAGAAACCCCGGUAGUCC